RNAcentral lists this ribosomal RNA (539 nucleotides) under uncultured bacterium. RNAcentral's name for it is "bacterial SSU rRNA". It matches the Rfam family "Bacterial small subunit ribosomal RNA", at positions 8 to 526 of the family's 1533-position model. The record is from RNAcentral.
AGAGUUUGAUCAUGGCUCAGAACGAACGCUGGCGGCGUGGAUAAGACAUGCAAGUCGAACGGAUUAUCCAGUGUAGCAAUACAUUGGGUAGUUAGUGGCGUAAGGGUGCGUAACACGUGGGCAACCUGCCCGGAAGAGUGGGAUAGCUCGCCGAAAGGCGAAUUAAUACCGCAUGAGGCUAGGAGGGGAAUCCCUCUGAGGCCAAAGUUGGUGAAAGCUAACGCUUCUGGAUGGGCCCGCGGCCUAUCAGCUAGUUGGUUGAGGUAACGGCUCACCAAGGCUAUGGCGGGUAGCUGGUCUGAGAGGACGACCAGCCACACUGGAACUGAGACAUGGUCCAGACACCUACGGGUGGCAGCAGUCGAGAAUUUUUCACAAUGGGCGCAAGCCUGAUGGAGCGACGCCGCGUGGGGGAUGAAUGGCUUCGGCCCGUAAACCCCUGUCAUUUGCGAACAAACCUUGCUAUUUAAAAGAUGGCGAGCUGAUUGUAGCGAAAGAGGAAGGGACGGCUAACUCUGUGCCAGCAGCCGCGGUAAUAC